Molecule: ribosomal RNA, 484 nt
Filed under: uncultured bacterium
Lineage: Bacteria
Description: partial 16S ribosomal RNA
Rfam family: Bacterial small subunit ribosomal RNA
Source: RNAcentral
GGGGAGGGCGGGCGGGAGGCGGAGGGGAUGCAGGGCGAGCGGGGGAAGGGAGCUGGCUCGUGGAUUCAGCGGCGGACGGGUGAGGAAUGCCUAGGAAUCGGACUGGUAGUGGGGGAUAACGUCGGGAAACGGGCGCUAAUACCGCAUACGUCCUGAGGGAGAAAGUGGGGGAUCUUCGUACCUCACGCUAUCAGAUGAGCCUAGGUCGGAUUAGCUAGUUGUUGGGGUAAAGGCCUACCAAGGCGACGAGCCGUCACUGGUCUGAGAGGAUGAUAAGUCACACUGGAACGGAGACGCGGUCCAGGCUACUACGGGAGGCCGCAGUGGGGAAUAUUGGACAAUGGGCGAAAGCCUGAUCCAGCCAUGCCGCGUGUGUGAAAAAGGUCUUCGGAUUGUAAAGCAGUUUAAGUUGGGAGGAAGGGCAGUAAGUUAAUACCUUGCUGUUUUGACGUUACCAACAGAAUAAGCACCGGCUAACUUCGUG